RNAcentral lists this ribosomal RNA (425 nucleotides) under uncultured bacterium. Its description in RNAcentral is "partial 16S ribosomal RNA". It matches the Rfam family "Bacterial small subunit ribosomal RNA", at positions 354 to 796 of the family's 1533-position model. The record is from RNAcentral.
GUGGGGAAUCUUGCGCAAUGGGCGAAAGCCUGACGCAGCCAUGCCGCGUGAAUGAUGAAGGUCUUAGGAUUGUAAAAUUCUUUCACCGGGGACGAUAAUGACGGUACCCGGAGAAGAAGCUCCGGCUAACUUCGUGCCAGCAGCCGCGGUAAUACGAAGGGGGCUAGCGUUGCUCGGAAUUACUGGGCGUAAAGGGCGCGUAGGCGGACAGCUUAGUCAGAGGUGAAAGCCCAGGGCUCAACCUUGGAAUUGCCUUUGAUACUGGCUGUCUUGAGUUUGGGAGAGGUGAGUGGAACUCCGAGUGUAGAGGUGAAAUUCGUAGAUAUUCGGAGGAACACCAGUGGCGAAGGCGGCUCACUGGCUCGAUACUGACGCUGAGGUGCGAAAGCGUGGGGAGCAAACAGGAUUAGAUACCCGGGUAGUCC